AAACAACACAGUAUAGGUCAAAAUGGCCAAGGUCCUUUUGAUAUCAACACCAAACUCGCUGUUGCUUUAACCUAUGCUGGCAUUGGAGAAGCUGUGGUUUCAAAGAUUUUUUCGACGCUCAAUAUACCAAUUCUAACUCCAAGAAAUUUGAAGAAGAGAGAGUGAGAGACUGUCCCUGCUCUAGAGACACUGGCAAGAAAUUCCUGUGAUGAAGCCUUACAACUGGAGGCACAUAAAUCAAGUGAAAGUGGAUUGGUGCUUUCUUAUGAUGCUGGAUGGCAAAAGCGAGGAAGUGGUAGAAACUACAAUAGUCUCUCAGGACAUGCAUCAAUGUUUGGCAGCAAAACUGGCAAAUUAGUAGGGUAUGGUGUCAUGUCCAAAACAUGCCGGACCUGUGAUUCCAACAAAAGGAGAACCUGUGAAAAAGAUCAUGACUGCAGGAAGAAUUGGUCUGGAAGUUCAAAGUCAAUGGAACCAGCAAUGGCAGCCAACAUUAUAAGAAAUAUUGAA
Saccostrea echinata is the source of this 510-nucleotide long non-coding RNA. RefSeq lists it as uncharacterized. Lineage: Eukaryota; Metazoa; Mollusca; Bivalvia; Ostreida; Ostreidae. The record is from RefSeq and is a predicted model, not a curated record. The transcript has 4 exons.